ACAUGCAAGUCGAACGAUUCUUGUAUUAUAGCAAUAUUAUUAAAGAGGAGUGGCGAACGGGUGAGUAACACGUAGAUAAUCUGCCUUUCAGGACGGGGACAACUCAAGGGAAACUUGUGCUAAUACCCGAUGAGACCACAAGAAGGAUUUUUUGUGGCCAAAGGCGGGCAGCAAUGCUCGUGCUGAAAGAUGAGUCUGCGUCCUAUCAGCUAGUUGGUGGGGUAAAUGCCUACCAAGGCUAAGACGGGUAGCCGGCCUGAGAGGGUGAACGGCCACACUGGGACUGAGACACGGCCCAGACUCCUACGGGAGGCAGCAGUGAGGAAUUUUCCGCAAUGGGCGCAAGCCUGACGGAGCGACGCCGCGUGAGGGAUGAACAGCUUUCGGGUUGUAAACCUCUUUUAUUAAGGAAAAAGAUCUAUAUGCUAAUAUCAUGUAGAUUUGAUGGUACUUAUUGAAUAAGCCCCGGCUAACUACGUGCCAGCCGCAGC
This 491-nucleotide ribosomal RNA is filed under the name uncultured bacterium. RNAcentral describes it as "bacterial SSU rRNA". It matches the Rfam family "Bacterial small subunit ribosomal RNA", at positions 53 to 518 of the family's 1533-position model. The record is from RNAcentral.